UGGGGAAUUUUGGACAAUGGGCGAAAGCUUGAUCCAGCAAUGCCGCGUGUGUGAAGAAGGCCUUCGGGUUGUAAAGCACUUUUGUCCGGAAAGAAAUCCUUGGCUCUAAUACAGUCGGGGGAUGACGGUACCGGAAGAAUAAGCACCGGCUAACUACGUGCCAGCAGCCGCGGUAAUACGUAGGGUGCAAGCGUUAAUCGGAAUUACUGGGCGUAAAGCGUGCGCAGGCGGUUUGCUAAGACCGAUGUGAAAUCCCCGGGCUCAACCUGGGAACUGCAUUGGUGACUGGCAGGCUAGAGUAUGGCAGAGGGGGGUAGAAUUCCACGUGUAGCAGUGAAAUGCGUAGAGAUGUGGAGGAAUACCGAUGGCGAAGGCAGCCCCCUGGGCCAAUACUGACGCUCAUGCACGAAAGCGUGGGGAGCAAACAGGAUUAGAUACCCUGGUAGUCCACGCCCUAAACGAUGUCAACUAGUUGUUGGGGAUUCAUUUCCUUAGUAACGUAGCUAACGCGUGAAGUUGACCGCCUGGGGAGUACGGUCGCAAGAUU
Molecule: ribosomal RNA, 547 nt
Filed under: uncultured bacterium
Lineage: Bacteria
Description: partial 16S ribosomal RNA
Rfam family: Bacterial small subunit ribosomal RNA
Source: RNAcentral